This 254-nucleotide ribosomal RNA is filed under the name uncultured bacterium. RNAcentral's name for it is "partial 16S ribosomal RNA". It matches the Rfam family "Bacterial small subunit ribosomal RNA", at positions 524 to 776 of the family's 1533-position model. The record is from RNAcentral.
UACGGAGGGUGCAAGCGUUAUCCGGAUUCACUGGGUUUAAAGGGUGCGUAGGUGGGUUUGUAAGUCAGUGGUGAAAUCUCCGUAGCUUAACUCGGAAACUGCCAUUGAUACUAUAGAUCUUGAAUUUUCUGGAGGAUAGCGGAAUAUGUCAUGUAGCGGUGAAAUGCUUAGAUAUGACAUAGAACACCAAUUGCGAAGGCAGCUAUCUACAGGGAUAUUGACACUGAGGCACGAAAGCGUGGGGAUCAAACAGG